CGGGGGAAGCUUUUUCUUUAUUUUUCUUUAUUUCCCCCCAAAAAACUAGGUUGCACCUUAUGGGCUGGUGCGUCCUAUGGGGCGCAAAAUACAGUACUCAUUUGUGGCUAUGAUUUGGCAAACGAGAGAACAGCGCUUCCAAAGCACUGGGAUAAAGUGCUGCUGUUUCUUUAUUCAGAUCCCAACCCAAUUCUUUUCUCAAGCCCAGAUAUAGCAACUGAUUGGACAAUGAUGUUCUCUGAAGACCAGAGCAUGUAGUUACCAUAGAGAUGCCAUCUGAGGCUUUCCUCCAGAUGGUGCUACAUGCUGGCUGUAGCAUAGAUAAUAAUAGGCAGUGACAGUGUAGACUUCCACUGCAGGUAGUUGUAUAUGUUAUGGCCAGAACAGGUGGCCUAUUCUAAAGAGAAGCCUUUAUUUACUUUAUUUAUUAAAUUUCUAUAAAAACACAAAAAGACACAACAUAGUAACAAACCCAGACAAUUCCCCCAUGGGGUUAUUAGCCCACCCAUGGCAACUAUAACAAAUGCUCUCAUGUUUGUGGAGAUUCAGAGUCAGAGUUAGUAGGUGCCUGUUGAUUCCCACCCAGAAUCCUGUUACAUGUUUUGACAGUCCUCAGUGACCAGGUCUUAGGGUGUGGCCCCUUUGGAAAAUGGGAAGCUUUUUUUUGGGGGGGGGUGCACCAAAAUAAAAACAACUGGAAUAGUUUUUAAACACCAGUGUUGGAAAAAUAACUACAAUUUCUAGUAAGGUGUGCAAAAUGUUUUAUGCACCCAUCUUGUGGGGAGUUGAAAAGAAUUCACUGCAGCAUCACCUUUUAAGGUACUUAAAAGAUGCCUUAAUAUCAGCCUCCUUAGUUUUGAGCCCUGAGAAAGAUGAUAAAAGUGUGUUUAAAUUUCUUUUUGAAACUGGAAUAUUUAAAUUGUAGAGCAUACUUGGGUCAAAUAAAAUAUAUGAAUUCAAAUUAAGUUCUUGAGAUGUGAAGGGAAUUGUGUUUUGGGUUGCGAGUGGAGAGGACAGAAUUCUGCAUCUUUGCCCCUUCACCUAUUUCUGUUAGCAUGGAAACUUCUGUAGCAACAGUCCUC
RNAcentral lists this long non-coding RNA (1082 nucleotides) under Podarcis muralis (Common wall lizard). RNAcentral's name for it is "lncRNA (ENSPMRG00000023619.1)". Lineage: Eukaryota; Metazoa; Chordata; Lepidosauria; Squamata; Lacertidae. The record is from RNAcentral.